Molecule: ribosomal RNA, 371 nt
Filed under: uncultured organism
Description: bacterial SSU rRNA
Rfam family: Bacterial small subunit ribosomal RNA
Source: RNAcentral
CAGAGGUCCCAAGCGUUGUUCGGAUUCACUGGGCGUAAAGGGUGCGUAGGUGGUUAGGUAAGUCGGAUGUGAAAUCUCCGAGCUCAACUCGGAAACUGCAUUGGAAACUACCUGGCUAGAGGGUUGAGGGGGGACUGGAAUACUUGGUGUAGCAGUGAAAUGCGUAGAUAUCAAGUGGAACACCAGUGGCGAAGGCGAGUCCCUGGACAACUCCUGACACUGAUGCACGAAAGCUAGGGGAGCAAACAGGAUUAGAUACCCUGGUAGUCCUAGCCGUAAACGGUGCACGUUUGCUGUAAAAGGAAUCGACCCCUUUUGUGGCGUAGCCAACGCGUUAAACGUGCCGCCUGGGAAGUACGGUCGCAAGAUUA